This 429-nucleotide ribosomal RNA is filed under the name Acidobacteriota bacterium. RNAcentral describes it as "Acidobacteria bacterium partial 16S ribosomal RNA". It matches the Rfam family "Bacterial small subunit ribosomal RNA", at positions 355 to 776 of the family's 1533-position model. The record is from RNAcentral. Lineage: Bacteria; Pseudomonadati; Acidobacteriota.
UGGGGAAUUUUGGACAAUGGGGGAAACCCUGAUCCAGCCAUCCCGCGUGUGCGAUGAAGGCCUUCGGGUUGUAAAGCACUUUUGGCAGGAAAGAAACGUCAUGGGUUAAUACCCCGUGAAACUGACGGUACCUGCAGAAUAAGCACCGGCUAACUACGUGCCAGCAGCCGCGGUAAUACGUAGGGUGCAAGCGUUAAUCGGAAUUACUGGGCGUAAAGCGUGCGCAGGCGGUUCGGAAAGAAAGAUGUGAAAUCCCAGGGCUCAACUUUGGAACUGCAUUUUUAACUACCGGGCUAGAGUGUGUCAGAGGGAGGUGGAAUUCCGCGUGUAGCAGUGAAAUGCGUAGAUGUGCGGAGGAACACCGAUGGCGAAGGCAGCCUCCUGGCAUAACACUGACGCUCAUGCACGAAAGCGUGGGGAGCAAACAGG